This 494-nucleotide long non-coding RNA is filed under the name Homo sapiens (human). Its description in RNAcentral is "novel transcript". Lineage: Eukaryota; Metazoa; Chordata; Mammalia; Primates; Hominidae. The record is from RNAcentral.
AACAGAAAGGUUCUUGGUUCAUGGUUCAAUCAGCUCCUACCAGGCUCCUCCUCCAACAUUGGGGAUUACAAUUCAACAUGAAAUUUCAGCAGAGACACUGACUCAAAUCAUAUCAGGGAUAGGAAAUACGACCUGUCUCACUUUGAUCCAUAUUGAAGGCUUCGGAUUUCCUUCAUUCUCCAAGUGAUGCAAAACCAAGGCUGUACAAGCAUGGUGAUGGCAUCUGUCCAGCAUCUGGGGAGCCUGCAGGGAGCUUUUACUCAGGACAGAAGGUGAAGCAGGAGCAGGUAUAUUCUCACCUAAGUGCUGAAACGACCUCAUAGCACAAAGGGGAGACAGAAAUUUUAAAAGUGGAAUGAAGGGAGGAUAACUUCAAAUGACAGUUGCCACAGCUGAAGAGAUGCUUUCACUCAUGAAACAAAUAAGCAAGCAGGAUGCCAUCCAUGAAGAUGAUGCUUCUGACUCACUGUAAAAAUAAAAAAAUACGUAUACUA